Molecule: unclassified non-coding RNA, 569 nt
Filed under: Hevea brasiliensis (rubber tree)
Lineage: Eukaryota; Viridiplantae; Streptophyta; Magnoliopsida; Malpighiales; Euphorbiaceae
Source: RNAcentral
UAGAUAUACUUGCGGUGAACUUCUGCAUCAAGUUGUUUGUCAUCCUUUGAAAAUCCAGCAAAUCUCUUAUCACUGUGAGGAAUAUCCAAACCACCAUCUAGUGCUCCCUUGAGAGCACCAAAUACACGGUUUCCAGUUGUGGUCCUGACCAGCCCAACAUCAAGUAAAGCACGGAAAGGCCUCCUGCUCUCAGCUGGCUCAACUGAGAAGUCCUCCCCAGUAGCCUCUGCAUUCCCCUCGUAUUCCUCAUCCAUUUCAAGCAUUUUCAAAGUACGACGGGCCAACAGAAGUCCAGUGCAGUAGGCUGCUGCAUAGUUUGUCAGACCCACUUCCAGUCCAUAUCGAGGAAGCUCAUGAGAAUAGGCAGCAGCAAGAACCAUAUCUCCAGCAAUACUAGCUGAUAUUAUUUGUGCGACAAUGUCCUUAUUGGAAAAUCGCACAACAAAUCGGUACUUUGGAGUGUUGUACUUAUUCUUGUCCUGAUUGAUCAGGCGAAUCCUGGCUCUAUAGUCGGUCUUCCCUUCUCUUCUUCUCUUAAAUUUGACCUGAAACCGCUUAAAGUAAGCCUU